Molecule: long non-coding RNA, 932 nt
Organism: Bos taurus (domestic cattle)
Lineage: Eukaryota; Metazoa; Chordata; Mammalia; Artiodactyla; Bovidae
Source: Ensembl
AAUGAGCCCAGCUAAAAUCAAUUCCCCCAGACCCGGUAAUCUCCUUUUUACCCAGGAGUGAAGCCUGCCGCCAUAUUCUGCCCACAGACUGCUUUAUACCUCGGGGUGCACUCCAGGACCUUACUUCACGUUGGUCAGUGAUCCUCAGUGAUCAAUGCAAAGAAAUAGAGGAAAACAAUAAAAUAGGAAAGACUAGAGACUCUUCAAGAAAAUUAGAGAUACCAAGGGAAUAUUUCAUGCAAAGAUGGGCACAAUAAAGGACAGAAAUAGUAUGGACCUAACAGAAGCAGAAGACAUUAAGAAGAGGUAGCAAGAAUACACAGAACAACUGUACAAAAAAGAUCUUCACGACCCAGAUAAUCAGGAUGGUGUGAUCACUCACCUAGAGCCAGACAUCCUGGAAUAUGAAGUCAAGAGGACCUUAGAAAGCAUCACUACGAACAAAACCAGUGGAGGUGAUGGAAUUCCAGUUGAGCUAUUUCAAAUCCUGAAGGAUGAUGCUGUGAAAGUGCUACACUCAAUAUGCCAGCAAAUUUGGAAAACUCAGCAGUGGCCACAGGACUGGAAAAGCUUCCGGUGGCUGCAGACAUUCCUCAGCUUGUGGCUACGUCACUCCAGUCUUCAAGGAAGACUCCAAAAUUCAUUCUACAUAAACAAGGAAGAAACUGAACAAAGCACAUCACAGCUCAAAUGUCCCAGCUUGAUCACAACAAGGAUGAGAAAACUCUCCCACCUGACAUGGAGGAGGAACUGAUGAUGGAAGCUUGACAUCUACUCAGGGUUGAGGAAGAAGGUGGUUUUCUCUCUCUCUCUCUGCUUUUCCUUUGAUUAUAAAACUGUAGUCCACUGAGUUCUUGGGGCACAGCUCCCUCUUGUCCUUUUGCUUUUAAGCCUCACAAGCAUCCUAUUCUAAUAAAUCAUUUCUCAUCUUU